GCUGGCGGUAUGCUUAACACAUGCAAGUCGAACGAGGUGCUUAGGCAUCUAGUGGCGGACGGGUGAGUAACGCGUGAGAAUCUGGCUCCAGGUCGGGGAUAACAGUUGGAAACGACUGCUAAUACCGGAUGUGCCGAGAGGUGAAAGAUUUAUUGCCUGGAGAUGAGCUCGCGUCUGAUUAGCUAGUUGGUGGUGUAAGGGACCACCAAGGCGUCGAUCAGUAGCUGGUCUGAGAGGAUGAUCAGCCACACUGGGACUGAGACACGGCCCAGACUCCUACGGGAGGCAGCAGUGGGGAAUUUUCCGCAAUGGGCGAAAGCCUGACGGAGCAAUACCGCGUGAGGGAGGAAGGCUCUUGGGUCGUAAACCUCUUUUCUCAAGGAAGAAGAAAGUGACGGUACUUGAGGAAUAAGCAUCGGCUAACUCCGUGCCAGCAGCCGCGGUAAUACGGAGGAUGCAAGCGUUAUCCGGAAUGAUUGGGCGUAAAGGGUCUGCAGGUGGAACUGAAAGUCUGCUGUUAAAGAGUUUGGCUUAACCAAAUAAAAGCGGUGGAAACUACAGAACUAGAGUGCGGUAGGGGCAAAAGGAAUUCCUGGUGUAGCGGUGAAAUGCGUAGAUAUCAGGAAGAACACCGGUGGCGAAAGCGUUUUGCUAGACCGUAACUGACACUGAGGGACGAAAGCUAGGGGAGCGAAUGGGAUUAGAUACCCCAGUAGUCCUAGCCGUAAACGAUGGAUACUAGGCGUGGCUUGUAUCGACCCGAGCCGUGCCGGAGCUAACGCGUUAAGUAUCCCGCCUGGGGAGUACGCACGCAAGUGUGAAACUCAAAGGAAUUGACGGGGGCCCGCACAAGCGGUGGAGUAUGUGGUUUAAUUCGAUGCAACGCGAAGAACCUUACCAAGACUUGACAUCCUGCGAAUCCUGGUGAAAGCUGGGAGUGCCUUAGGGAGCGCAGAGACAGGUGGUGCAUGGCUGUCGUCAGCUCGUGUCGUGAGAUGUUGGGUUAAGUCCCGCAACGAGCGCAACCCUCGUUUUUAGUUGCCAGCAUUAAGUUGGGCACUCUAGAGAGACUGCCGGUGACAAACCGGAGGAAGGUGAGGAUGACGUCAAGUCAGCAUGCCCCUUACGUCUUGGGCUACACACGUACUACAAUGCUACGGACAGAGGGCAGCGAGCCAGGGAUGGCAAGCGAAUCCAGAAACCGUAGCUCAGUUCAGAUCGAAGGCUGCAACUCGCCUUCGUGAAGGAGGAAUCGCUAGUAAUUGCAGGUCAGCAUACUGCAGUGAAUUCGUUCCCGGGCCUUGUACACACCGCCCGUCACACCAUGGAAGUUGGUCACGCCCGAAGUCAUUACCCCAACCGAAAGGAGGGGGAUGCCUAAGGUAGGACUGGUGACUGGGGUGAAGUCGUAACAAGGUAGCCGUACCGGAAGGUGUGGCUGGAUCACCUCCUUUUAGGGAGACCUACCCAUUGAAGAAUCGAAAGCCGAAGGCGAAUAGAGAAUCAAAUGGUCUACUCUAGGUCGGUCGAGAAUUGGUCAAGUCUCUUUCAAAGUAUUAUAUUUCCGGUGAUUCCCAGCAACUAGGAAAGACCUAGACUGCUGGUGAGAACCAGCCAGAACCUUGAAAACUGCAUAUAGACAGAUAAGAGAGCUGAAAUCGAAAGAUAGAAGUAAGUGAAGAACCAAGUGGUCAAGCUAAUAAGGGCUCAUGGUGGAUACCU
RNAcentral lists this ribosomal RNA (1722 nucleotides) under Cylindrospermopsis raciborskii CHAB 6611. Its description in RNAcentral is "bacterial SSU rRNA". The stretch from base 1 to 1454 matches the Rfam family "Bacterial small subunit ribosomal RNA". Lineage: Bacteria; Bacillati; Cyanobacteriota; Cyanophyceae; Nostocales; Aphanizomenonaceae. The record is from RNAcentral.